CUUGGCACUGUAAGAAUUCACAGA
Molecule: microRNA, 24 nt
Filed under: Parasteatoda tepidariorum (common house spider)
Lineage: Eukaryota; Metazoa; Arthropoda; Arachnida; Araneae; Theridiidae
Description: pte-miR-263a-5p
Gene: pte-miR-263a-5p
Source: miRBase by way of RNAcentral